This 73-nucleotide transfer RNA is filed under the name Candidatus Nomurabacteria bacterium. RNAcentral's name for it is "tRNA-Thr". It matches the Rfam family "tRNA". From Rfam's summary of the family: Transfer RNA (tRNA) molecules are approximately 80 nucleotides in length. Their secondary structure includes four short double-helical elements and three loops (D, anti-codon, and T loops). Further hydrogen bonds mediate the characteristic L-shaped molecular structure. tRNAs have two regions of fundamental functional importance: the anti-codon, which is responsible for specific mRNA codon recognition, and the 3' end, to which the tRNAs corresponding amino acid is attached (by aminoacyl-tRNA synthetases). tRNAs cope with the degeneracy of the genetic code in two manners: having more than one tRNA (with a specific anti-codon) for a particular amino acid; and 'wobble' base-pairing, i.e. permitting non-standard base-pairing at the 3rd anti-codon position. The record is from RNAcentral. Lineage: Bacteria; Candidatus Nomuraibacteriota. RNAcentral also lists the same sequence under 1 other name.
GCCGGCUUAGCUCAGUUGGUAGAGCAACGGUUUUGUAAACCGUAGGUCCCCGGUUCAAGCCCGGGAGCCGGCU